UGCAAGUCGAACGCUUUUUCUUUCACCGGAGCUUGCUCCACCGAAAGAAAAAGAGUGGCGAACGGGUGAGUAACACGUGGGUAACCUGCCCAUCAGAAGGGGAUAACACUUGGAAACAGGUGCUAAUACCGUAUAACACUAUUUUCCGCAUGGAAGAAAGUUGAAAGGCGCUUUUGCGUCACUGAUGGAUGGACCCGCGGUGCAUUAGCUAGUUGGUGAGGUAACGGCUCACCAAGGCAACGAUGCAUAGCCGACCUGAGAGGGUGAUCGGCCACACUGGGACUGAGACACGGCCCAGACUCCUACGGGAGGCAGCAGUAGGGAAUCUUCGGCAAUGGACGAAAGUCUGACCGAGCAACGCCGCGUGAGUGAAGAAGGUUUUCGGAUCGUAAAACUCUGUUGUUAGAGAAGAACAAGGAUGAGAGUAAAAUGUUCAUCCCUUGACGGUAUCUAACCAGAAAGCCACGGCUAACUACGUGCCAGCAGCCGCGGUAAUACGUAGGUGGCAAGCGUUGUCCGGAUUUAUUGGGCGUAAAGCGAGCGCAGGCGGUUUCUUAAGUCUGAUGUGAAAGCCCCCGGCUCAACCGGGGAGGGUCAUUGGAAACUGGGAGACUUG
Molecule: ribosomal RNA, 616 nt
Filed under: Enterococcus sp. HT3
Lineage: Bacteria; Bacillati; Bacillota; Bacilli; Lactobacillales; Enterococcaceae
Description: bacterial SSU rRNA
Rfam family: Bacterial small subunit ribosomal RNA
Source: RNAcentral